AACGAACGCUGGCGGCAUGCCUAACACAUGCAAGUCGAACGAGACCUUCGGGUCUAGUGGCGCACGGGUGCGUAACGCGUGGGAACCUGCCCUUAGGUUCGGAAUAACUCCCCGAAAGGGGUGCUAAUACCGGAUAAUGUCUUCGGACCAAAGAUUUAUCGCCUUUGGAUGGGCCCGCGUUGGAUUAGCUAGUUGGUAGGGUAAAAGCCUACCAAGGCGACGAUCCAUAGCUGGUCUGAGAGGAUGAUCAGCCGCACUGGGACUGAGACACGGCCCAGACUCCUACGGGGGGCAGCGGUGGGGAAUAUUGGACAAGGGGCGAAAGCCUGAUCCAGCAAUGCCGCGUGAGUGAUGAAGGCCUUAGGGUUGUAAAGCUCUUUGACCCGGGAUGAUAAUGACAGUACCGGGAGAAUAAGCUCCGGCUAACUCCGUG
Molecule: ribosomal RNA, 433 nt
Filed under: uncultured bacterium
Lineage: Bacteria
Description: partial 16S ribosomal RNA
Rfam family: Bacterial small subunit ribosomal RNA
Source: RNAcentral